UACGUAGGGUGCGAGCGUUGUCCGGAAUUAUUGGGCGUAAAGAGCUCGUAGGCGGUUUGUCGCGUCGACUGUGAAAACCUACAGCUUAACUGUGGGCUUGCAGUCGAUACGGGCAGACUUGAGUUCGGUAGGGGAGACUGGAAUUCCUGGUGUGGCGGUGAAAUGCGCAGAUAUCAGGAGGAACACCGGUGGCGAAGGCGGGUCUCUGGGCCGAUACUGACGUGAGGAGCGAAAGCGUGGGGGAGCGAACAGG
Molecule: ribosomal RNA, 253 nt
Filed under: uncultured bacterium
Lineage: Bacteria
Description: partial 16S ribosomal RNA
Rfam family: Bacterial small subunit ribosomal RNA
Source: RNAcentral